This 55-nucleotide transfer RNA is filed under the name Leptotrichia hofstadii F0254. It matches the Rfam family "tRNA", at positions 17 to 71 of the family's 71-position model. From Rfam's summary of the family: Transfer RNA (tRNA) molecules are approximately 80 nucleotides in length. Lineage: Bacteria; Fusobacteriati; Fusobacteriota; Fusobacteriia; Fusobacteriales; Leptotrichiaceae. The record is from Rfam by way of RNAcentral.
GGAGAGCGCUGCCCUUGCAAGGCAGAGGUCAGCGGUUCGAACCCGCUUAUCUCCA